AGCCCCGAGGUGAUUAACAUGUUGAAUUGCAAAUUCAAAGGAGCAGUCUUAAGCCUCUGCCGGGGCUU
Molecule: transfer RNA, 68 nt
Filed under: Erythrocebus patas (red guenon)
Lineage: Eukaryota; Metazoa; Chordata; Mammalia; Primates; Cercopithecidae
Description: tRNA-Cys
Source: RNAcentral